Molecule: non-coding RNA, 315 nt
Organism: Epinephelus lanceolatus (giant grouper)
Lineage: Eukaryota; Metazoa; Chordata; Actinopteri; Perciformes; Serranidae
Source: RefSeq, a predicted model, not a curated record
GUUUGGAUCGAGAUGCAUCAAGAGAGUCUCCUGUGUCCCCGGGCAUCUUCGACGCGCACUCUCCCUGUGCUUUUGAUGCAGAGCAGCCAGGCCCAAGCACUUCGUGUGAGGCAAUAGGCAUCCAUCAAGUGGCCGGGGUGAGUGAUUGCGGCCCAGCAGAGGACCCAGAUAAUCUGCAGGCACUGUGGAGACAAAAAAUUAAACUGCAAAUUAAAGUGUUGCGGCUCCAAGAGGAGUACUACAGCUUGGCUUUUAAAAAAAAAAGAAAAGAUACUGAGUGAUAAAAAAGUAAUAAAACGAAUUAAUAAAAAAGCA